This 212-nucleotide unclassified non-coding RNA is filed under the name Hevea brasiliensis (rubber tree). The record is from RNAcentral. Lineage: Eukaryota; Viridiplantae; Streptophyta; Magnoliopsida; Malpighiales; Euphorbiaceae.
GUCAAUUCCAAUUCAUUUUAUAGCUCAAUCAACAAAGAAACACAAAUACAACUUAAAAUACCUUUAUAAAAAUGGAAAACAUGAGAAAUAAACCCUAAGUUUUGAAUCCAAAACGAAAGAACCAACUAGGAGAAUGAUUAGGUGACAGGAGGAAUACAAAAGAAUUCCCAAUCGGCAAAUAGAUUAUAACAACAAUCAAAAUAUCGUGAUUG